Molecule: ribosomal RNA, 492 nt
Filed under: uncultured bacterium
Lineage: Bacteria
Description: partial 16S ribosomal RNA
Rfam family: Bacterial small subunit ribosomal RNA
Source: RNAcentral
AUUGCCCUCUUUCUUUAGGCCUAACACAUGCAAGUCGAACGGCAGCACAGUAAGAGCUUGCUCUUACGGGUGGCGAGUGGCGGACGGGUGAGGAAUACAUCGGAAUCUACUUUUUCGUGGGGGAUAACGUAGGGAAACUUACGCUAAUACCGCAUACGACCUACGGGUGAAAGCAGGGGAUCUUCGGACCUUGCGCGAUUAAAUGAGCCGAUGUCGGAUUAGCUAGUUGGCGGGGUAAAGGCCCACCAAGGCGACGAUCCGUAGCUGGUCUGAGAGGAUGAUCAGCCACACUGGAACUGAGACACGGUCCAGACUCCUACGGGAGGCAGCAGUGGGGAAUAUUGGACAAAGGGCGCAAGCCUGAUCCAGCCAUACCGCGUGGGUGAAGAAGGCCUUCGGGUUGUAAAGCCCUUUUGUUGGGAAAGAAAAGCAGCAGGUUAAUACCCCGCUGUUCUGACGGUACCCAAAGAAUAAGCACCGGCUAACUUCGUG